This 315-nucleotide long non-coding RNA is filed under the name Homo sapiens (human). Its description in RNAcentral is "HSALNT0404497". Lineage: Eukaryota; Metazoa; Chordata; Mammalia; Primates; Hominidae. The record is from RNAcentral.
GACUUCCUCCCCUGCUGCCUGGGCUGCGGUAGCUCUUCCGGCACCUGCUCUUCAGGCACCUGCCCUGUGCUGGCCCCUCCUGCAACAAUCGGGAGCCCUCACCUCAGUCGGCGCUGCAGAACCAGCCCAGGAGAGCAGCUGGCCUGUCAUCUGCUGAGGAGCGGAGGCGGCUGUGCCCAGGACUGCAAUGGCCUCCCACACUACCUCACUACCCUGGUCCAGGCUCACUGACAGAUGAGGAAACUGAGGCAGGGGCCCCGGUCUCACGGCCAUUGGUGCAGAGCUGGGAUCCACGACCAGGUGGGCUCUUUGUUA